GUCUACGGCCAUACCACCCUCAACGUGCCCAAUUUUGUCUGAUCUCAGAAGCUAAGCAGGGUUGGGCCUGAUUAGUACUUGGAUGGGAGAAAUUACAGGAUAUAUAAACA
Prolemur simus (greater bamboo lemur) is the source of this 110-nucleotide ribosomal RNA. The record is from Ensembl. NCBI's taxonomy places the organism in Eukaryota, Metazoa, Chordata, Mammalia, Primates, Lemuridae.